AUCAGCCACACUGGCACUGCGACACGGGCCAGACUCCUACGGGAGGCAGCAGUAAGGAGUAUUGCGCAAUGGGCGAAAGCCUGACGCAGCGACGCCGCGUGGGGGAUGAAGGUCUUCGGAUUGUAAACCCCUUUCGGGAGGGAAGAUGGUUGCAUACAAGUGCAACGGACGGUACCUCCAGAAGCAGCCACGGCUAACUUCGUGCCAGCAGCCGCGGUAAUAAU
Molecule: ribosomal RNA, 224 nt
Filed under: uncultured bacterium
Lineage: Bacteria
Description: partial 16S ribosomal RNA
Rfam family: Bacterial small subunit ribosomal RNA
Source: RNAcentral